GUCAAUAAUAAGCGCUCGUGGCAGCAGGCGGGGUUGCAGUUUCGUGCCAGCCCGCCGGUUCUGGCACAGCCACACCCAACUGCGCGCCUUGCAAAGGCCGGCGCUUAGCCCUGUCUUGCGUCCACUGCGCCGCUGCGAAGACCAACGACCGAGAGCUCUGGCUGCCAGCUCCUCCCCGGCCACUUCCGCCCCUGGCCGAGGAAGGCCCAAGCUGCGCCACAGGAGCUGGUCCGUCCGUCCGCCCCGCGCCCAGGCCUGGCAGCCCGUGCUCUGGCGGACCCCGACGCGCACAUGGACGCACGGACCUCCGAGGGUCCCCACGGGGACCCGCUGCGGGACGCGGUGAGUGGUCCCGGCGGCCCGGACUAAGCAGCCAGAACCUGUGCCUCUAGGACGCCCCCGCCCCUUCCUGGAACCCGUGAAAGUCCUGCCCCACCGCUGGAGCCGGGCUGGUUUUUAGAGCCCCGCCCCAGGAGGGGUGACUUUGGACCCUCUGAGUCUUCCGCGUCCCGCCUGCUCUCCUAUUUGCCAAAACAGGUUCCAAGCCUGGAAGAGGCAGAUAGGUUUACCCUGUUAAAAAGAAUUUACUACAUGAACAGACUGCAUUUUCCUGACCAAGGUGGACGCCCCUGAUUGAAGGAGGCAACUAGAGAUAAGGAUGGCAGCUCCGCAGUGAGAAGGCAGACUAGGAGUGCUGGUCCAGUGCUUCCACCGCCAACAAAUACAGGGGUGAGAGGUCUCAGGUCAUAAAUUAUUUAACGUGCAAACUAGAAAAAGCAGCGCAGAAACGUGAAACGCUAGCUGUAACGAUAUUCUGCGCAACCUGGCUGAUAAUACCAACUACAACACCAACGCCACCAGCUGGUGAACACCCGUAGUAAGGAGGAUACAUGAGCUGUGAAUGGCUUCGCCUCCUUGGGGAGCUCUUGAGAGUGACUGAGGCUGCUCCCUGUGCUCCUCCCUAGACUUACAUUUCAGCUCUCAGACGGUAGGUGUGUGCUCAUUGCGAGUUAACUGCGUAGUGUACAGAUGCAGUUUUGCACAGUCAUCUCUUUCUGGUGCUUGGCACCUUUGUCAAAAGCCACUGGAGCCCACGUAUGCAGCAUCUAAACGUUUUGUAUUUUCUUUUUAUUUCUCUGUAGAGCCAAACAAAUGAAAAAUAAAUCUAUUCAAAGAUGCAGGGGAAAAAAACACUGGAGCAUGUAUGAUGGAUUACUUCAUUAAUAAUAAAUGUUGAGUACUUUGUGGUUCCAUUUUCCAGGCAGAACAUCUACUUCAGGAACUUCAAGAACAUUUUCAAGCUCUCACUGCAGCCUUAAACCUGAGAAAUAUCCUCUUCUGUCUUUGGUAAACACUAAUGCUUUUGGACAGGCACAUCUCCAUUGUCUUCUGCUGUGGACAAAUAGUUGUUUAUUUGGAUUCUCCAGUAUUUACACUUGCCCUUCUAAGGGGCUUUUCCUGUGCUGUCAAUGCCAGAGGUCUGUGGCAAGUGUGAAGUUCAAGGGCACCACUCUGCUCCUGACCACCUGGACAACCUGGUCUGCAACAGUUAGAGGACGGUGCUCAAGUCCAAUAGGAGGCUAGACACUGCUGUGCCUUUGCUUUGUUUUGACUUCCCCGGCUCACUCUUUUAUUUCAGAAACACAAAUGUUACAAAAUUAACACAGAAUGUUUCCAAUGAGUAAGUUCAGGUAAGGGCAAAAAGUGCAUUAAAACUUGCCCAAUUUGAGCUCACUUUAUUCAACUAAGUGCAUUCCUUAAACAUUGUGCAAAGUAUUUACAUUUGGAAGUGCUUACCUGCAGCUUUUGAUUUUACCAACAAGGUAAAACAUGAUAACACGAUAAAUUAAACCAUAGAGUUGUUUUAAAAGUUAAAUUUCCAUUAUAUUAUGCUCAGAGUUUGGCAGGUUUAAAAGCCAAGUUUCUCACUUCAAGGUUCAAGAUACACACUAAAAGGGACUCAGGAGGCAGCAAAUUUGCAUUGACCCUUCAUUUUACAAGUUCCUCUCUGUGGAGAAGGUAUGGCCUUGAGGGCGUGUCUGUGGUCACUCUGCACCCCAGACCUACAUGUGCAGUUUUCCUUGACGUGGCACUGGAAGACAUGGGGAAUCGCAUAGAGGACUUACAGAAGAAUGUGAAUGUCCUAAUGGAGCAGGCUGGGGUUGGAAAUUCCACUGAAGAGCAAACAGUAAGUUCAUCAUUAGGCAACUGUUUGCCUUUUGCAUAUCUUUUAAUUGCUUUCAUCUUGAAAAAUACAAUCCCAUAUUUGUUCACUGUGCAAAUACUGUUGCUGUAUUACUGAAAAACCAUUAGAAACAACACAUUUCCAAAUGCUCUAAUCCAGUUAUACCAACUGAAACACUCUUUUCCAUAAUUCCUUAAAAGUGCACAUUUUAGAUGAAAAAUUCCUAUUUCAAAGUUGGAUUUUAUUAGGGUACUUUUCAUCCCUACUCCUUAAAUUAGUCUUCAGCUAGAACACAAAUCACAGUGAACUAGAGACUGGGAUUAUAACUAGUAGUUCCUGUUUAGAUAACUUAUCCAUGUCACACACUGAAGUCCUAUGCACAGAAAGUCCUUAACACAUUUCCUGAGUGGCCCACCAGGGCCUGGAUCACCCCACAAUGGGAACUUUCCCAUGCUAAUGCAGUCUUGAGGAUGCAAACAGAUUCCUAGCUCCAGGUCUGAGACCUGGAGUGUAGCUUUAUUAAGGUAAGUAUGCAUAUUAUCAUGACAGUACUCCAACUAUGACCAUCUUUUCAUUGAACAAUUUAAAGGCCUUGGUUUACUCACAAUUGCUAUCCUAAGUCGGAUAUCAAAUUAUCCCUUCUUGUCCUGCUAAAUUAUAGUUGCCUCUGUCAGUGACAUUAAUUGCAGUGAGUUAUUCUAAGCAGAGUCCACACUGAUGCCAUUGGACUAAAAAGGCCCUUGUAUCAUUUGUUUUUCUGAGUGCUAAAUUUUGCCUACAUAACAAUGUUGUAAUAAUUAUAAGAAAUUAGGGUACUUUAUUAAAAACUGUAUUCAGAUGUAUUUACCUGUAAACUGGAAUCCACAUCACCUAACUGCUUUCAAAUUUUUUCUUACAGACCUGAAGAUGUUAUUGGACAAGUCCCGUGAAACUAAUACAAUGAACACUUUGAAGGAGUAAUCAUCUAUGUAAUAUGGAUUCUGAUUCUCAGUACUUAAUUUUAAGAUUAUUUAUUUUUUUUGGGGGGGGUCCUGGGAAUGGAACUCAGGGCCUCAGCAUGCUAGGCCCUGAGUUGCACCUCCAGUCUAUCAGAAUUCUUUUUUUUCCCUUUUAGUUUUAAUUGGAUGCAAUACCUUUAUUUUAUUUAUUUUUAUGUGGUGCUGAUGAUUAAACCCAGUGUCUCACACAUGCUAGGCAAGCACUCUACCACUGAGUCACAACAUCAGAAUUCAUUUUAACAAAUAAAAAGAUUAAAAGAGGGCUGGGGAUAUGGCUCAAGUGGUAGUGCGCUCGCCUGGCAUGCGUGCGGCCCGGGUUCGAUCCUCAGCACCACAUACAAAGAUGUUGUAUCCGCAGAAAACUAAAAAAAUAAUAUUAAAAAAUUUCUCUUUAAAAAAAAAAUUAAAAGAAUAAGAAAUAAGAAUUCAAAAGGUGGUGAACUACUUACCAAGAUAACUGCAAACAAUGGAGAAAUAUUUUUUCAGUGCAUAAUAUUCACAAAUUAUGGAAGAAAAGCAUAUGCUGUAUGAAUACAUGAAUACUUUUUCCAAGUUAAAAUUCUACAUGGAUCUUUUAAGGAUCACCAGCAGUUUUCUAUCGGGCUUUGCUUUUUUUUUUUUUAAAUUAAUUUAUUUAUUCUUGGGCUGGGGAUGUGGCUCAAGCGGUAGCAUGUUUGCCUGGCAUGCGUGCGGCCCGGGUUCGAUCCUCAGCACCACAUACAAACAAAGAUGUUGUGUCCGCUGAAAACUAAAAAAUAAAAAUAUUAAAAUUCUCUCUCUCUAAAAAAAAAUUAUUCUAAUUUCUUACAUGUAACAGCAGAAUGCAUUUCAAUUCAUACUACACAUAUAGAGCACAAUUUUUCAUGUCUCUGGUUGUAUGCGAAGUAGAGUCACACCACUCAUGUCUUCAUACAUGUACUUGGGGUAAUGAUGCCCAUCUCAUUCCAUCGUUUUUCUUACCCCCUCUCUUCCCCUCCCCUCUACCCUAUCUAAAGUUCCUCCAUUCCUCUCAUGCCCACCGCCAUCCCUAUUAUGGACCAGCAUCCUGAUAACAGAGAAAACAUUCGGUAUUUGGUUUUGGGGGGAUUGGCUUACUUCACUUAGCAUAAUAUUCUCCAGCCCCACCCAAUUACCUGCAAAUGCCAUGAUUUUAUUCUCUUCUAAUGCUGAGUAAUAUACAACUGUGUAAAUAUACCAUAGUUUCUUUACCCAUUUAUCUAUUGAAGGGCAUCUAGGUUGAUUCCACAAUUCAGCCGUUGUGAAUUGUAUUGCUAUAAAUAUUGAUAUAGCUGUUUUUAAGUCGUUUGGGUAUAAACUGAGGAGGAUAGUUGGAUCAAAUGGUGGUUACAUUUCAAGUUUUCCAAGGAAUCUUCAUACCACUUUCCAUAUUGGUUGCACCAAUUUGCAGUCCCACCAGCAAUGUAUGAGUGUCUUUUCCCCCACAUCCUUGCCAACACUUACUGUUGUUUGUAUUCUUAAUAGCUGCCAUUCUGACUGGAGUGAGAUAAAAAUCUUAGAGUAGUUUUGAUUUGAAUUUCUCUAAUUACUAGAGAUAUUGAAUAUUUUUUAAUGUAUUUGUUGAUUGAUUGUAUAUCAUCUUCUGAAAAGUGUCUGUCCAGUUCCUUGGCCCAUUUAUUGAUUUGGUUUGUUUGUUUUGGUGAUUAGCUUUUAGAGUUCUUUAUAUACCCUAGAGAUUAGUCCUUUAUCUGAUGUGCUCCCAUUCUGUAGGCUCUCUAUUCACCUGAUUGUUUCUUGCUUAGAUGAUGAUUUUUAGUUUGAAUCCACCCCAUUUGGAUUCUUGAUUUUAUUUCUUGCAUAAUAGGAGUCUUAUUAAGGAAGGUGGGGCCUACUUUUUCUUCUAUUAGGCACAGGGUCCCUUGUUUAGUUCCUAGGUCCUUGAUCCAAUUUGAGUUGUUUUUUGUAUGGUGAUAGGGGCUCAAUUUCAUUUUGUUGCAUAUGGAUUUCCAGUUUUCCCAGCACCAUUUGUUGAAGAGGAUAUUCUUUCUCCAAUAUAUUUUUGGCGCUUUUGUCUAAUAUGACUGUAUUUAUGUGAGUUUGCUUCCGUGUUCUCUAUUCUACACCAUUGGUCUACAAGUCUAUUUUGGUGCCAAUACCACACUGUUUUGCUACUGUUGCUCUGUAGUACAGUUUAAGGUUUGGUAUAGUGAUGCCACCUGCUUCACUCUUCUUGCUUUAGCUAUUCUGGGUCUCUUUAUUUUUCCAGUGAAUUUCAUGACUACUUUUACUAUUUCUAUGAGGAAUGUCAUUGGGGUGUUAAUUGCAAUUCCAUUAAAUCUGUAUAGUGCUUUUGGUAGUAUGGCUAUUUUGACAAUAUGAAUUCUGCCUAUCCAAGAACAAGGGAGAUAUUUCCAUCUUCUAAGGUCUUCUUUAAUUUCUUCCUUUAGCAUUCUGUAAUUUUUAUUGUAGAGAUCUUUCACCUCUUUCAGUGAUUCCCAAGGUUUUGGUUUCUUGGUUUUGUUUUGAGGCUAUUGUAAAUGGGAUAGUUUUCCUAGUUUCUCUUUCAGAGGAUUUGUCACUGAUGUACAGAAAUGCCUUUGAUUUAUGGGUGUUGAUUUUAUAUCUUGCUGAAUUCAUUAUUAGUUCUAUAAGUUGUCUGGUGGAAUUUUCUGGAUCUUCUAAGUAUAGAAUCAUAUAAUCAGUAUACAGUGAUAAUUUGAAUUCUUUUCCUACCCGUAUCUUUAGUUUCUUUUGUCUAAUUGAUUGGCUAGAGUUUCAAGAACUAUGUUAAAUAGUGGUGGUGAAAGAGGGCAUCCCUGUCUUGUUCCAUUUUUUUUUUAGAGGGAAUGCUUUCAAUUUUUCUUCAUUUAGAAUGAUGUUGGCCUGGAUCUUAGAAUAACAGUUUUUACAAUGUUGAAAUAUGUUUCUGUGAUUCCUCGUUUUUCUAGUGUUUUGAAUGAAGGGGUCCUGUAUUUUGUCAAAUGCUUUUUCUGCAUCUAAUGAGAUGAUCAUAUGAUUCUUAUCUUUAAGUCUAUUAAUGUGAUGAAUUACAUUUGCUGAUUUUCAUAUUGAACCAACCCUGCAUCCCUAGGAUGAACCCUACUUGAUUGUGGUGCACUAUCCUUUUGAUAUGUUUUUGUAUUUGCCAGAAUUUUAUUGAAAAAAUUUGCAUCUAUGUUCAUUAGAGAUAUUGGUCUGAAGGUUUCUUUCUUUGAUAUGUCUUUGUCUGGUUUUAGAACCAGGGUGAUAAUGACUUCACAGAAUGAGUUUGGAAGUGUUCCCUCUUUUUCUAUUUCAUGAAAUAACUUGAGGAGUAUUAGUUCUUCUUUGAAGGUCUUGUAGAACUCAGUUGUGUAUCCAUCUGGUCCUAGGCUUUUCUUGGUUGGUAGGCUUCUGAUGGUGUCUUCUAUUUCAUUGCUUGAAUUGACAUGUUUAACUUGUAUGUAUCAUCCUGAUUCAGUCUGAGCAAAUCAUGAGACUAGAAAUUUGUCGAUAGUUUUUCUAUUUUACUGGAGUACAAAUUUUCAAAAUAAUUUCUAAUUAUAUUCUAUAUUUCUGUAGUGUCUAUCAUGAUAUUUCCUUUUUCAUCACAGAUGUUAGUAAUUUGAGUUUUCUCUUUCUUACUCCUGUUAUCAUGGCUAAGAUUUAUCAAUUUUAUUUAUUUCUUCAAAGAACCAACUUUUUGUUUUCUCAAUUUUUUCAAUUUUCUUUUGUCUCAAUUUCAUUGAUUUUAGCUCUGAUUUUAAUUUUCUAUCUUCUACUGCUUUUGGUGUUGAUUUGUUGUUUUCUUUCUAGGGCUUGGAGAUGCAACAUUAGAUCAUUUGUUUACCGUUUCUUCUUUUAAGGAAUGAACUCCAUGGGGCUGGGGAUGUGGCUCAAGCGGUAGCGCGCUGGCCUGCCAUGCGUGCGGCCUGGGCUCGAUCCUCAACACCACAUACAAACAAAGAUGUUGUGUCCGCUGAAAACUAAAUAUUAAAAUUCUCUAAAAAAAAAUAAAAUAAAAGGAAUGAACUCCAUGCAAUGAACUUUCCUCUUAGUAUUGCCUUCAUAGUGUCUCAGGGAUUUCAAUGUUGUAUCAGUGUUCUCAUUUACCUCUAAGAAUUUUUUUAAUCACCUCUUUUGCAACCAUUGUUCAUUCAAUAGCAUAUUAUUUAGUCUACAGGUGUUGAAGUAGCGUCUAUUUUUAAUUUAAUCAUUGACUUCUAAAUUUCAUUCCAUUAUGAUCUGAUAGAAUUCAGGGUAUCUAUUUUUUUUUUGUAUUUGCUAAGUUGCUUUAUGACAUAAUAUAUGGUCUAUUUUAGAGAAGGAUCCAUGUGCUGAAAGUGAUUUCAGUCAUUCAUGGAUAAAAUAUUCUAUCUAUGUAAGUUAUUGAUUGUAUUAUUGAAUUCUAUAAUUUCUUUGUUUAGCUUUUGUUCAGAAGAUUUAUCUAGUAGUGAAAGAGGUUUGUUAAAAUCAUCAAAAUUAUUGUGUUGUGGUCUACUCGACUCUUGAACUUGAAAUGUGUUUGUUUGAGGACUGUAGAUGCUACAUGGUUUGGGGCAUAUAUAAUUGUUAUAUCUUAUUGAUGUAUGGUUCCCUUAAACAGUAUGAAAUAUCCUUCUUUAUCCCCUGUGAUUAACUUUGGCUUGAAGUCUACUCUAUUUGAUAUGAGGACGGAAACCUUGCUUGUUUCUGCAGUCCAUGUAAGUAGUAUGUUUUGUUUUUUUUUCCCCAACCUUUCACCUUCAGUCUGUGGAUGUCUUUUCCUAUGAGAUGACAGCAUAUUGUUAGGUUUUUUUUUUUUAAACCCAAUCUGCCAGUCUAGCUUUUCGAUUGUCAUUGUAGGCCAUUGACAUUCAGGGUUGUGCUCUAUGUGUAAUAUGAAAUGAAUUGCCUUCUGCAUGUGUAACAAAAAUUAGAAUAAAUAAUUUUUAAAAAAUAUUCAGGAUUAUUAUUGAGACAUGAUUUGUAUUCCUAGUCAUGUUUAUUUUUGGUAUUUAACUUAACUUGGUUUCUACUUUGAUUAGUAUAUCCUUUAGUGUAACACUUCCCUUUGCUGAUUUUCAUUGUUAUUUCCUCCUCAUGGAAUAUUUUGCUGAAGACGCUUUCUAGUCAUAAAUUCUUUUAUCAUGGAAGGUUUUUAUUUUAUCAUCAAAUCUAUAGCAUAAUUUUGCUGGAUAUGAUUCUUGGUUGGCAUCCAUUUUCUUUCAGAGCUUGGUAUAUGUUGUUCCAGGAUCUUCCAGCUUUCAGGGUCUGGGUUGAAAAAUCUGCAGAGCUACUAAUUGUUUUCCCCCUAUAUGCAAUCUGAUUCCUUUUUCUUGUGGCUUCUAAAAUUCUCUCCUUAUUCUGUAUGCUGGGCAUUUUCAAUAUAAUGUGCCUUGGUGUGGAUCUCUUUUGUGAUUUUGUGUAUUUGGUGUCCUAUAAGCCUCUUGUAUUUGAUUUUCUAAUUCAUUCUUCAUGUUUGGAAAAUUUUCUGAUAUUUAAUUGAAGAGAUUAUUCAUUCCUUUGGUUUGGAAUUCUAUGCCUUCCUCUAUCCCAGUAAUUUAUUUUUUUUUCUGAGCGAGAGAGAGAAAAU
This 8695-nucleotide long non-coding RNA is filed under the name Marmota monax (woodchuck). The record is from RNAcentral. Lineage: Eukaryota; Metazoa; Chordata; Mammalia; Rodentia; Sciuridae.